RNAcentral lists this ribosomal RNA (468 nucleotides) under uncultured bacterium. RNAcentral's name for it is "partial 16S ribosomal RNA". It matches the Rfam family "Bacterial small subunit ribosomal RNA", at positions 28 to 507 of the family's 1533-position model. The record is from RNAcentral.
GACGAACGCUGGCGGCGUGCUUAACACAUGCAAGUCGAACGGAAAGGCCCUGCUUUUGUGGGGUGCUCGAGUGGCGAACGGGUGAGUAACACGUGAGUAACCUGCCCUUGACUUUGGGAUAACUUCAGGAAACUGGGGCUAAUACCGGAUAGGAGCUCCUGCUGCAUGGUGGGGGUUGGAAAGUUUCGGCGGUUGGGGAUGGACUCGCGGCUUAUCAGCUUGUUGGUGGGGUAGUGGCAUACCAAGGCUUUGACGGGUAGCCGGCCUGAGAGGGUGACCGGACACAUUGGGACUGAGAUACGGCCCAGACUCCUACGGGAGGCAGCAGUGGGGAAUAUUGCACAAUGGGCGGAAGCCUGAUGCAGCAACGCCGCGUGGGGGAUGACGGCCUUCGGGUUGUAAACCGCUUUCGCCUGUGACGAAGCGUGAGUGACGGUAAUGGGUAAAGAAGCACCGGCUAACUACGUG